RNAcentral lists this ribosomal RNA (506 nucleotides) under uncultured bacterium. Its description in RNAcentral is "partial 16S ribosomal RNA". It matches the Rfam family "Bacterial small subunit ribosomal RNA", at positions 29 to 523 of the family's 1533-position model. The record is from RNAcentral.
AGUGAACGCUGGCGGUAGGCCUAACACAUGCAAGUCGAACGGCAGCACAGGAGAGCUUGCUCUCUGGGUGGCGAGUGGCGGACGGGUGAGGAAUACAUCGGAAUCUACUCUGUCGUGGGGGAUAACGUAGGGAAACUUACGCUAAUACCGCAUACGACCUACGGGUGAAAGCAGGGGAUCUUCGGACCUUGCGCGAUUGAAUGAGCCGAUGUUGGAUUAGCUAGUUGGGGGGGUAAAGGCCCACCAAGGCGACGAUCCGUAGCUGGGCUGAGAGGAGGAUCAGCCACACUGGAACUAGGACACGGUCCAGACUCCUACGGGAGGCAGCAGUGGGGAAUAUUGGACAAUGGGCGCAAGCCUGAUCCAGCCAUACCGCGUGGGUGAAGAAGGCCUUCGGGUUGUAAAGCCCUUUUGUUGGGAAAGAAAUCCAGCUGGCUAAUACCCGGUUGGGAUGACGGUACCCAAAGAAUAAGCACCGGCUAACUUCGUGCCAGCAGCCGCCGUAA